RNAcentral lists this transfer RNA (77 nucleotides) under Candidatus Nucleicultrix amoebiphila FS5. RNAcentral's name for it is "tRNA-Arg". It matches the Rfam family "tRNA". Rfam says of the family: Transfer RNA (tRNA) molecules are approximately 80 nucleotides in length. Their secondary structure includes four short double-helical elements and three loops (D, anti-codon, and T loops). The record is from RNAcentral. Lineage: Bacteria; Pseudomonadati; Pseudomonadota; Alphaproteobacteria; Holosporales; Nucleicultricaceae (SeqCode).
GCGCUCUUAGCUCAGAUGGAUAGAGCAACAGCCUUCUAAGCUGUGGGUCGCAGGUUCGAAUCCUGCAGAGCGCGCCA